Molecule: ribosomal RNA, 375 nt
Filed under: uncultured organism
Description: partial 16S ribosomal RNA
Rfam family: Bacterial small subunit ribosomal RNA
Source: RNAcentral
GUAGGUGGCAAGCGUUGUCCGGAAUUAUUGGGCGUAAAGCGCGCGCAGGCGGUUCUUUAAGUCUGAUGUGAAAGCCCACGGCUCAACCGUGGAGGGUCAUUGGAAACUGGAGAACUUGAGUACAGAAGAGGAAAGCGGAAUUCCACGUGUAGCGGUGAAAUGCGUAGAGAUGUGGAGGAACACCAGUGGCGAAGGCGGCUUUCUGGUCUGUAACUGACGCUGAGGCGCGAAAGCGUGGGGAGCAAACAGGGAUUAGAUACCCUGGUAGUCCACGCCGUAAACGAUGAGUGCUAAGUGUUAGGGGGGGUUUCCGCCCCCCUUAGUGCUGCAGCUAACGCAUUAAGCACUCCGCCUGGGGAUACGGCCGCGAGGCUG